GGACGGGUACCGAAGUUGGUCAAACGGGGCUGACUGUAGAUCAGCUGGCUAUGCCUUCGGGGGUUCGAAUCCUCCCCCGUCCACCA
Molecule: transfer RNA, 86 nt
Filed under: Chloroflexota bacterium
Lineage: Bacteria; Bacillati; Chloroflexota
Also listed under: 3 other names
Description: Chloroflexi bacterium tRNA-Tyr
Rfam family: tRNA
About the family: Transfer RNA (tRNA) molecules are approximately 80 nucleotides in length. Their secondary structure includes four short double-helical elements and three loops (D, anti-codon, and T loops).
Source: RNAcentral